GCCAGGUACGGUGGCGCGUGCCUGUAGUCCCAACUACUUGGGAAGCUGCGGCAGGAGGAUGGCUUGAGUCCAAGAGUUCUGGGCUGUACUGUGCUAUGCCAGUUGGGGGUCCACACUAAGUUCAGCAUCAGUAUGGUGACCUCCCAGGAAGGGGGACCACCAGAUUUACUAAUGAGGGGUGAACUGGCCCAGAUUGGAAACAAGCAGGUCAAAACUCCUGCGCUGAUCAGUAGUGGGAUCAUGCCUGCGAAUAGCCACUGCACUCCAGUCUGGGCAACAUAACAAGACCCUGUCUCUU
Homo sapiens (human) is the source of this 298-nucleotide non-coding RNA. It matches the Rfam family "Metazoan signal recognition particle RNA". Rfam says of the family: The signal recognition particle (SRP) is a universally conserved ribonucleoprotein. It is involved in the co-translational targeting of proteins to membranes. The eukaryotic SRP consists of a 300-nucleotide 7S RNA and six proteins: SRPs 72, 68, 54, 19, 14, and 9. NCBI's taxonomy places the organism in Eukaryota, Metazoa, Chordata, Mammalia, Primates, Hominidae. The record is from Rfam.